This 504-nucleotide ribosomal RNA is filed under the name uncultured bacterium. Its description in RNAcentral is "partial 16S ribosomal RNA". It matches the Rfam family "Bacterial small subunit ribosomal RNA", at positions 30 to 523 of the family's 1533-position model. The record is from RNAcentral.
AUUGAACGCUGGCGGCAGGCCUAACACAUGCAAGUCGAACGGUAGCACAGAGAGCUUGCUCUUGGGUGACGAGUGGCGGACGGGUGAGUAAUGUCUGGGAAACUGCCCGAUGGAGGGGGAUAACUACUGGAAACGGUAGCUGAUACCGCAUAACGUCUUCGGACCAAAGUGGGGGACCUUCGGGCCUCACACCAUCGGAUGUGCCCAGAUGGGAUUAGCUAGUAGGUGGGGUAAUGGCUCACCUAGGCGACGAUCCCUAGCUGGUCUGAGAGGAUGACCAGCCACACUGGAACUGAGACACGGUCCAGACUCCUACGGGAGGCAGCAGUGGGGAAUAUUGCACAAUGGGCGCAAGCCUGAUGCAGCCAUGCCGCGUGUAUGAAGAAGGCCUUCGGGUUGUAAAGUACUUUCAGCGGGGAGGAAGGCGAUGGAGUUAAUAGCUUCAUCGAUUGACGUUACCCGCAGAAGAAGCACCGGCUAACUCCGUGCCAGCAGCCGCGGUAA